RNAcentral lists this transfer RNA (73 nucleotides) under Stegodyphus mimosarum. It matches the Rfam family "tRNA". From Rfam's summary of the family: Transfer RNA (tRNA) molecules are approximately 80 nucleotides in length. Their secondary structure includes four short double-helical elements and three loops (D, anti-codon, and T loops). Further hydrogen bonds mediate the characteristic L-shaped molecular structure. tRNAs have two regions of fundamental functional importance: the anti-codon, which is responsible for specific mRNA codon recognition, and the 3' end, to which the tRNAs corresponding amino acid is attached (by aminoacyl-tRNA synthetases). tRNAs cope with the degeneracy of the genetic code in two manners: having more than one tRNA (with a specific anti-codon) for a particular amino acid; and 'wobble' base-pairing, i.e. permitting non-standard base-pairing at the 3rd anti-codon position. The record is from Rfam by way of RNAcentral. Lineage: Eukaryota; Metazoa; Arthropoda; Arachnida; Araneae; Eresidae.
GCCUGCGUGAUGUAGUGGUCAGCACGCUCGACGCGUAACCGAGAGGUCCGUGGUUCGAUUCCCGGCGAAGGCG